UUAAGCGACUAAGCGUACACGGUGGAUGCCCGGCAGUCAGAGGCGAUGAAGGACGUGCUAAUCUGCGAAAAGCGACGGCGAGGUGAUAUGAACCUUUGACCCGUCGAUGUCCGAAUGGGGAAACCCAGUGUGAUUCGUCACACUAUCGUUAACUGAAUACAUAGGUUAACGAGGCGAACCGGGGAACUGAAACAUCUAAGUACCCCGAGGAAAAGAAAUCAACCGAGAUUCCCCAGUAGCGGCGAGCGAACGGGGAGCAGCCCGAGUCUGAAUCAGCUUGUGUGUUAGUGGAAGCGUCUGGAAAGUCGCACGGUACAGGGUGACAGUCCCGUACACGAAAAUGCACAGGUUGUGAACUCGAAGAGUAGGGCGGGACACGUGGUAUCCUGUCUGAAUAUGGGGACCAUCCUCCAAGGCUAAAUACUCCUGACUGACCGAUAGUGAACCAGUACCGUGAGGGAAAGGCGAAAAGAACCCCGGCGAGGGAGUGAAAAGAACCUGAAACCGUGUACGUACAAGCAGUGGGAGCACCUUCGUGGUGUGACUGCGUACCUUUGUAUAAUGGGUCAGCGACUUAUAUUCUGUAGCAAGGUUAACCGUAUAGGGGAGCCGAAGGAAACCGAGUCUUAACUGGGCGUUAAGUUGCAGGGUAUAGACCCGAAACCCGGUGAUCUAGCCAUGGGCAGGUUGAAGGUUGGGUAACACUAACUGGAGGACCGAACCGACUAAUGUUGAAAAAUUAGCGGAUGACCUGUGGCUGGGGUGAAAGGCCAAUCAAACCGGGAGAUAGCUGGUUCUCCCCGAAAGCUAUUUAGGUAGCGCCUCGUGAACUCAUCUUCGGGGUAGAGCACUGUUUCGGCUAGGGGCCAUCCCGGCUUACCAACCCGAUGCAAACUACGAAUACCGAAGAAUGUUAUCACGGGAGACACACGGCGGGUGCUAACGUCCGUCGUGAAGAGGAAACAACCCAGACCGCCAGCUAAGGUCCCAAAGUCAUGGUUAAGUGGGAAACGAUGUGGGAAGGCACAGACAGCCGGAUGUUGGCUUAGAAGCAGCCAUCAUUUAAAGAAAGCGUAAUAGCUCACUGGUCGAGUCGGCCUGCGCGGAAGAUGUAACGGGGCUAAACCAUGCACCGAAGCUGCGGCAGCGACACUAUGUGUUGUUGGGUAGGGGAGCGUUCUGUAAGCCGUCGAAGGUGUGCUGUGAGGCAUGCUGGAGGUAUCAGAAGUGCGAAUGCUGACAUAAGUAACGAUAAAGCGGGUGAAAAGCCCGCUCGCCGGAAGACCAAGGGUUCCUGUCCAACGUUAAUCGGGGCAGGGUGAGUCGACCCUAAGGCGAGGCCGAAAGGCGUAGUCGAUGGGAAACAGGUUAAUAUUCCUGUACUUGGUGUUACUGCGAAGGGGGACGGAGAAGGCUAUGUCAGCCGGGCGACGGUUGUCCCGGUUUAAGCGUGUAGGUGUGUGUUCCGGCAAAUCCGGUUCACUUUAACACUGAGGCGUGAUGACGAGGCACUACGGUGCUGAAGUGAUAAAUGCCCUGCUUCCGGAAAAGCCUCUAAGCAUCAGGUAACACGAAAUCGUACCCCAAACCGACACAGGUGGUCAGGUAGAGAAUACCAAGGCGCUUGAGAGAACUCGGGUGAAGGAACUAGGCAAAAUGGUGCCGUAACUUCGGGAGAAGGCACGCUGAUAUGUAGGUGAAGUCCCUGCGGACGGAGCUGAAAUCAGUCGAAGAUACCAGCUGGCUGCAACUGUUUAUUAAAAACACAGCACUGUGCAAACACGAAAGUGGACGUAUACGGUGUGACGCCUGCCCGGUGCCGGAAGGUUAAUUGAUGGGGUUAGCGGCAACGCGAAGCUCUUGAUCGAAGCCCCGGUAAACGGCGGCCGUAACUAUAACGGUCCUAAGGUAGCGAAAUUCCUUGUCGGGUAAGUUCCGACCUGCACGAAUGGCGUAAUGAUGGCCGGCUGUCUCCACCCGAGACUCAGUGAAAUUGAACUCGCUGUGAAGAUGCAGUGUACCCGCGGCAAGACGGAAAGACCCCGUGAACCUUUACUAUAGCUUGACACUGAACACUGGUCCUUGAUGUGUAGGAUAGGUGGGAGGCUUUGAAGCGUGGACGCCAGUCUGCGUGGAGCCGUCCUUGAAAUACCACCCUUUAAUGGCUGGUGUUCUAACGUGGACCCGUGAUCCGGGUUGCGGACAGUGUCUGGUGGGUAGUUUGACUGGGGCGGUCUCCUCCCAAAGAGUAACGGAGGAGCACGAAGGUUAGCUAAUCUGGUCGGACAUCAGGAGGUUAGUGCAAUGGCAUAAGCUAGCUUGACUGCGAGAGUGACGGCUCGAGCAGGUGCGAAAGCAGGUCAUAGUGAUCCGGUGGUUCUGAAUGGAAGGGCCAUCGCUCAACGGAUAAAAGGUACUCCGGGGAUAACAGGCUGAUACCGCCCAAGAGUUCAUAUCGACGGCGGUGUUUGGCACCUCGAUGUCGGCUCAUCACAUCCUGGGGCUGAAGUAGGUCCCAAGGGUAUGGCUGUUCGCCAUUUAAAGUGGUACGCGAGCUGGGUUUAGAACGUCGUGAGACAGUUCGGUCCCUAUCUGCCGUGGGCGCUGGAGAAUUGAGGGGCUGCUCCUAGUACGAGAGGACCGGAGUGGACGCAUCACUGGUGUUCGGGUUGUCAUGCCAAUGGCACUGCCCGGUAGCUAAAUGCGGAAGAGAUAAGUGCUGAAAGCAUCUAAGCACGAAACUUGCCCCGAGAUGAGUUCUCCUGAGACUUUAAGUCUCCUGAAGGAACGUUGAAGACGACGACGUUGAUAGGCCGGGUGUGUAAGCGCAGCGAUGCGUUGAGCUAACCGGUACUAAUGAACCGUGAGGCUUAACCUU
Molecule: ribosomal RNA, 2878 nt
Filed under: Enterobacter cloacae subsp. cloacae
Lineage: Bacteria; Pseudomonadati; Pseudomonadota; Gammaproteobacteria; Enterobacterales; Enterobacteriaceae
Description: bacterial LSU rRNA
Rfam family: Bacterial large subunit ribosomal RNA
Source: RNAcentral